GUUGAAACACCUGUUUCCGUACGAUCGCUGAAGUUAAGCAAUGUUGAACCGGGUCAGUUCCUAAAUGGGUGACCGCUUCGGAAUACCAG
Non-coding RNA from Acanthosepion pharaonis, 89 nucleotides. The record is from the annotation of a GenBank genome assembly. Lineage: Eukaryota; Metazoa; Mollusca; Cephalopoda; Sepiida; Sepiidae.